UUAUUCUCCAAUCAUCCAGUGU
RNAcentral lists this unclassified non-coding RNA (22 nucleotides) under Mus musculus (house mouse). Its description in RNAcentral is "oocyte_clustered_small_RNA6036". The record is from RNAcentral. Lineage: Eukaryota; Metazoa; Chordata; Mammalia; Rodentia; Muridae.